GACGAACGCUGGCGGCGUGCUUAACACAUGCAAGUCACGGGGGUCCCGCAAGGGAUAACCGGCGAACGGGUGCGUAACACGUGAACAACCUGCCCUCGUGUGGGGGAUAGCCAUGCUAACGCGUGGGUAAUACCGCAUACGUUCUCUUUGGGGAGUCCCGAGGAGAGGAAAGCUCCGGCGCACGGGGAGGGGUUCGCGGCCUAUCAGCUAGUUGGCGGGGUAAUGGCCCACCAAGGCGACGACGGGUAGCUGGCUGAGAGGAUGGCCAGCCACAUUGGGACUGAGAGACGGCCCAGACUCCUACGGGAGGCAGCAGUGGGGAAUCUUGCGCAAUGGUCUAACGACUGACGCAGCGACGCCGCGUGUGGGAGGACGCC
RNAcentral lists this ribosomal RNA (377 nucleotides) under uncultured bacterium. Its description in RNAcentral is "bacterial SSU rRNA". It matches the Rfam family "Bacterial small subunit ribosomal RNA", at positions 28 to 415 of the family's 1533-position model. The record is from RNAcentral.